This 305-nucleotide ribosomal RNA is filed under the name uncultured bacterium. RNAcentral's name for it is "bacterial SSU rRNA". It matches the Rfam family "Bacterial small subunit ribosomal RNA", at positions 336 to 658 of the family's 1533-position model. The record is from RNAcentral.
UUCCUACGGGAGGCAGCAGUGGGGAAUAUUGCACAAUGGGGGAAACCCUGAUGCAGCAACGCCGCGUGAGUGAAGAAGUCAUUCGUGAUGUAAAGCUCUAUCAGCAGGGAAGAAAAUGACGGUACCUGAGUAAGAAGCCCCGGCUAACUACGUGCCAGCAGCCGCGGUAAUACGUAGGGGGCAAGCGUUAUCCGGAUUUACUGGGUGUAAAGGGAGCGUAGACGGACUUGCAAGUCUGAUGUGAAAAUCCGGGGCCCAACCCCGGAACUGCAUUGGAAACUGUAUAUCUAGAGUGUCGGAGAGGC